ACUCAAAGGAAUAGACGGGGGCCCGCACAAGCGGUGGAGCAUGUGGUUCAAUUCGAAGCAACGCGAAGAACCUUACCAGCUCUUGACAUGUCCGGUUUGGAUUUCAGAGAUGAGAUCCUUCAGUUCGGCUGGCCGGAACACAGGUGCUGCAUGGCUGUCGUCAGCUCGUGUCGUGAGAUGUUGGGUUAAGUCCCGCAACGAGCGCAACCCUCGUCCUUAGUUGCCAUCAUUUAGUUGGGCACUCUAAGGAGACUGCCGGUGAUAAGCCGGAGGAAGGUGGGGAUGACGUCAAGUCCUCAUGGCCCUUACGGGCUGGGCUACACACGUGCUACAAUGGCGGUGACAGAGGGACGCGAAGGAGCAAUCCUUGGCAAAUCUCAAAAAACCGUCUCAGUUCGGAUUGGGGUCUGCAACUCGACCCCAUGAAGUUGGAAUCGCUAGUAAUCGCGGAUCAGCACGCCGCGGUGAAUACGUUCCCGGGCCUUGUACACACCGCCCGU
RNAcentral lists this ribosomal RNA (500 nucleotides) under uncultured bacterium. RNAcentral describes it as "partial 16S ribosomal RNA". It matches the Rfam family "Bacterial small subunit ribosomal RNA", at positions 899 to 1397 of the family's 1533-position model. The record is from RNAcentral.